Peromyscus maniculatus bairdii (prairie deer mouse) is the source of this 3049-nucleotide long non-coding RNA. RefSeq lists it as uncharacterized. Lineage: Eukaryota; Metazoa; Chordata; Mammalia; Rodentia; Cricetidae. The record is from RefSeq and is a predicted model, not a curated record.
UAGAGAGCUGUGGAUGAAGUGAGAAGCUCAGAAUCAGGACACAGUGGUCUUGGCAAUAUUCUCUGAAAAGGGAACAAGCUCGAGCAUUUCCAAGGAGUAUGCGUAGGAGCUAUAGGUUUCUGUGCACAUGACUGAUCCUCAAGCCUACGGGACGUUAGAAAUGGUUUCUGUUAUCUGUGGGCCAUACACUUGAAUUACUGCAGGCCACACAGCAUAGAGACAUGGACUGGGAGAAGAUAAGGAUCCCUUCACCCCGUGGGGGAAAACUCCUCCACUUCCACACAGAUCUGCAGGAGAACAUCUACGUCACCUUGAGCCAGCUCCAAAUGUAAUGGAUAUGGAAGGAGCAUACAGGAGUCUGGAUGUGACAUCACCAGUGCCCAGCAUAUCAAAUGCCCACCCAGCUUUCUGCUGACAGUGGAUGAGAGCUGCAGGAUAGCAAGAAACCAGGUGACAUGCAAGAAAGAAGAAAAAGAAGGAGCCAAGAUGGUGGAAUUAGGGAUUCACACCCAGUCUGAGUCUGAAGCUGAUAAAGACAUAAUGAGAUAAAUGGGACAAAAGAACAGAAGCUACCUGUGGUUGGAUUUGGGGAAGGUCAUAAUAUCCCAGGACUUCGAGAACACCAGAGUGCAUUGGUACAAGUGCAGUCGCUAAGUAAGAAUUGUUCUUCCCUUCAAGUGGUUUUAGAGAGACUGAACUCCUGGUGCCAAAGUAAUAAUAAAAACAACAACGAUGAACGACCUACUAAACAUCCUGCAGUGAAAACGUCAACUCUCCCUGUGUCUUCUAGUCUUAGAGGAGGGAAAAAUGCACUAUCACUAAGAAGUCCAAUUUUUCUUCAAAUGUACUAAAUUCCAGAACGUUAUCUACAAAGGUUGGGGGAAGUUGUGUCCCACUUUCCUUUCUUGCUGCUGUGAUAAACCCCCCGGGGGAAGCAGCUCAGUGGAGAAGGCUCGCUCUGGCUCGCUCUGGCUCGCUCUGGCUCGCUCUGGCUCGCUCUGGCUCGCUCUGGCUCGCUCUGGCUCGCAGUUGAAGAGUACAGCCUGUCGUCAUCAUCGUCAUCACAGUGAGGAAGUCAAUGCAGCAGGAACUCGAAGGUUCAGCUGGCACUGAACCCCCAGUCAAGAAGCAGAGAGGGGCGAGGGUUGCCCUUGCUCAGCUCCCUCCCUCGCAGGCAUGCUGAGAGAUUCAGCUCCCAGGGAGUUCGGAAUUCUGUCAAGUUGACAAUUAACAAUAACCUUUAUGGGACCCAUGCCAUCUCCCACCCUCCUUCCUUCUCUCCCUUCCUUCCUUCCUUCCUUCCUCCUUUCCUUUCUUCCAUUCUUUUUUUUCUUCAGUACAUUUUAGGUUUUUGAGGUGGAAUCUCACACUGUGAAUUAGAUUGGCCCAAGCCCCACAGUUUAGCCCAGACUCGUAAUCCUCCUGCCUCAGUUUUCCAAGAACUGGGAUUACAGGCUUGAGCCAUUACAUCUCUCUCUCUCUCUCUCUCUCUCUCUCUCUCUCUCUCUCUCUCUCUCUGUGUGUGUGUGUGUGUGUGUGUGUGUGUGUGUGUGUGUGUGAUCUACAAACAGUACCACACUGCUCUCAUUUUAAAGGAACAUGACUCCAAGACUGACUUAAGUACCUGUGAAAGGUGAAUCGGAAUGACCACAUGAUGAAGUAAGGAAUAAAGUGUAGAAAAUGAAAAACAUUCCAUAGUGAGUGUUAGAGCAAAAUGUCCCAGAUCACAUAGCUGAUUAAAGACCUCAAACCACAUUGCAGGUAGAGAGGUGGUGCAAAAUAAUUUGAUAAUAAAAUUUUAAAAAAUGAUGAUACAAAACUCAAGUGUGGAAAAUACCACUUUGGGUGGGUUGUAGGAUAGCCUUACCAUACACUGUUACCAAGAACCAGUAUGAAAUGCUUAAAACCUAUACAAACAAGGUAUUUCUAGGAAAGGCCAGAAAUUCCAGAGAGUUCCAUCUCUUCUUAGAAAUAAUUUAUAAAUUCAGGGUAAUUACAAUAGAAUUCCCAAUGGAGUAUUUUUCUAUGGUAGAAUAACCCUACAUUCAUUGGGAAAAUGUCAGCAUCUUUGGAUAAAAACCAGAAACGAUGGGGGUUUGUGCAAGCAGAAGCCAGUGCAUAGCAAAAGGCAUCCUCUCGCCAGCUCCAAGAUCGGCAGAUAGAGAAAGCAGAACACAGCAUUCUGCGACAGAGCCAAGGAGACGGCCGUGACAUUCAAGCCAGUGGAAGGAGGACGGCUGAGGGAGGCAGCCACGUGGUCGGGAAAAGUUUCAAUUAGUUCACCAUACCUCAGAUAGUACCAGUGGGAUUCCAAUUUAUCAUAAGCCCAAAAGAACAAAGAAGAUACAUAAAGCAAAGUCUACGAUGGAAGGGAUCAGCACCGUGGGUCAUAUAAAGACAUCACAGUGUGGUGGUGAAGAGAAAAGUGCAGAGACUCCCUUGAGAAAAACAUGGGUGCUAAAGUGCAAGGGUAGAACUGUCCCAGAUGGGUGAGAAACAAAAGCCACCAUGGAGACGGAAGUCCAGGGAAUUUGCCCAGAUAGACGAAUAUUAUCUAAAGCCCGCAAUCGGGGUGAGAAGAGAUGGCUCAUUUUGAAAGUGUGCUUGUUGCACAAGCAUGGGAACCUAAGUUGGGAUCCCAGUUCCCAAGUAACAAGCUGGGCAUUGACGCAUGUGUGCCUUGUGACCCCCAACUCUGUGGGGGCAGAAUCCAUGGGGCAGGAAGGUCUGUGGGACUCGCUGACUGCAAGCCUCAUUCUCAGUUCAGUGAGAUUUCCUGUCUCAAAGACUAAGAGUGGUAGAGAUUGACACUUGACCUCUUCCUCUGGUCUCUGUGCAUACAUGCACACAUUCACACACAUUGUACUCACACACAUAUAUGCACAGACACACAGAGACCAUAAUGUUCAAAGAUGCAAAAUUAAACACAGCAAAGCACCCAUCACCACUGUCUAUUAGAAUAGGGAAUAUUUAAGAUGGAUGGAUGGAUGGAUGGAUGGAUGUUACAAGGACAGAUGGAUAGACAUGAUUAGAUUGAGAGAUAGACAGA